UACGUAGGGGGCAAGCGUUGUCCGGAAUCAUUGGGCGUAAAGAGCGUGUAGGCGGCCCGAUAAGUCCGCUGUGAAAGUCCAGGGCUCAACCCUGGAAUGCCGGUGGAUACUGUCGGGCUCGAAUCCGGAAGAGGUGAGUGGAAUUCCUGGUGUAGCGGUGAAAUGCGCAGAUAUCAGGAGGGACACCAAUGGCGAAGGCAGCUCACUGGGACGGUAUUGACGCUGAGACGCGAAAGCGUGGGGAGCAAACAGG
RNAcentral lists this ribosomal RNA (253 nucleotides) under uncultured bacterium. RNAcentral describes it as "partial 16S ribosomal RNA". It matches the Rfam family "Bacterial small subunit ribosomal RNA", at positions 524 to 776 of the family's 1533-position model. The record is from RNAcentral.